RNAcentral lists this ribosomal RNA (483 nucleotides) under uncultured bacterium. RNAcentral describes it as "bacterial SSU rRNA". It matches the Rfam family "Bacterial small subunit ribosomal RNA", at positions 8 to 481 of the family's 1533-position model. The record is from RNAcentral.
AGAGUUUGAUCCUGGCUCAGAGUGAACGCUGGCGGCAGGCCUAACACAUGCAAGUCGAACGGCAGCACAGCAGUAGCAAUACUGUGGGUGGCGAGUGGCGGACGGGUGAGGAAUGCGUCGGAAUCUGCCUAUUUGUGGGGGAUAACGUAGGGAAACUUACGCUAAUACCGCAUACGACCUACGGGUGAAAGUGGGGGACCUUCGGGCCUCACGCAGAUAGAUGAGCCGACGCCGGAUUAGCUAGUUGGCGGGGUAAAGGCCCACCAAGGCGACGAUCCGUAGCUGGACUGAGAGGAUGAUCAGCCACACUGGGACUGAGACACGGCCCAGACUCCUACGGGAGGCAGCAGUGGGGAAUAUUGGACAAUGGGCGCAAGCCUGAUCCAGCCAUGCCGCGUGUGUGAAGAAGGCCUUCGGGUUUAAAGCACUUUUGUCCGGAAAGAAAUCCUUUCGAUUAAUACUCGGGAGGGAUGACGGUACCGA